GACGAACGCUGGCGGCGCGCCUAACACAUGCAAGUCGAACGAGCGAGAGAGAGCUUGCUUUCUCGAGCGAGUGGCGAACGGGUGAGUAGCGCGUGAGGAACCUGCCUCAAAGAGGGGGACAACAGUUGGAAACGACUGCUAAUACCGCAUAAGCCCACGGCUCGGCAUCGAGCAGAGGGAAAAGGAGCAAUCCGCUUUGAGAUGGCCUCGCGUCCGAUUAGCUAGUUGGUGAGGUAACGGCCCACCAAGGCAACGAUCGGUAGCCGGACUGAGAGGUUGAACGGCCACAUUGGGACUGAGACACGGCCCAGACUCCUACGGGAGGCAGCAGUGGGGAAUAUUGCACAAUGGGGGAAACCCUGAUGCAGCGACGCCGCGUGGAGGAAGAAGGUCUUCGGAUUGUAAACUCCUGUUGUUGAGGAAGAUAAUGACGGUACUCAACAAGGAAGUGACGGCUAACUACGUGCCAGCAGCCGCGGUAAAACGUAGGUCACAAGCGUUGUCCGGAAUUACUGGGUGUAAAGGGAGCGCAGGCGGGAAGACAAGUUGGAAGUGAAAUCCAUGGGCUCAACCCAUGAACUGCUUUCAAAACUGUUUUUCUUGAGUAGUGCAGAGGUAGGCGGAAUUCCCGGUGUAGCGGUGGAAUGCGUAGAUAUCGGGAGGAACACCAGUGGCGAAGGCGGCCUACUGGGCACCAACUGACGCUGAGGCUCGAAAGUGUGGGUAGCAAACAGGAUUAGAUACCCUGGUAGUCCACACUGUAAACGAUGAUUACUAGGUGUUGGAGGAUUGACCCCUUCAGUGCCGCAGUUAACACAAUAAGUAAUCCACCUGGGGAGUACGACCGCAAGGUUGAAACUCAAAGGAAUUGACGGGGGCCCGCACAAGCAGUGGAGUAUGUGGUUUAAUUCGACGCAACGCGAAGAACCUUACCAAGUCUUGACAUCCUGCGACGGUGCUGGAAACAGUACUUUCCUUCGGGACGCAGAGACAGGUGGUGCAUGGUUGUCGUCAGCUCGUGUCGUGAGAUGUUGGGUUAAGUCCCGCAACGAGCGCAACCCUUAUGGUCAGUUACUACGCAAGAGGACUCUGGCCAGACUGCCGUUGACAAAACGGAGGAAGGUGGGGAUGACGUCAAAUCAUCAUGCCCUUUAUGACUUGGGCUACACACGUACUACAAUGGCGUUAAACAAAGAGAAGCAAGACCGCGAGGUGGAGCAAAACUCAGAAACAACGUCCCAGUUCGGACUGCAGGCUGCAACUCGCCUGCACGAAGUCGGAAUUGCUAGUAAUCGCAGAUCAGCAUGCUGCGGUGAAAUACGUUCCCGGGCCU
RNAcentral lists this ribosomal RNA (1333 nucleotides) under uncultured bacterium. Its description in RNAcentral is "bacterial SSU rRNA". It matches the Rfam family "Bacterial small subunit ribosomal RNA", at positions 28 to 1381 of the family's 1533-position model. The record is from RNAcentral.